This 163-nucleotide unclassified non-coding RNA is filed under the name uncultured fungus. Its description in RNAcentral is "sequence contains ITS1". Lineage: Eukaryota; Fungi. The record is from RNAcentral.
AAGAGUUGUAAAACUCCCUUAACCCUUGUGAACCUACCUAAACGUCGUUGCUUCGGCGGGUAGCCCCCACAGGGGCCCAGCCUCCCAGCGAGGUACCCGCCGGAGGACCAUUUCAAAAUUCUUGCAAUUAGUGGCCUCUCUGAGUAUUAAAACAAAUAAGUUA